RNAcentral lists this ribosomal RNA (305 nucleotides) under uncultured bacterium. Its description in RNAcentral is "bacterial SSU rRNA". It matches the Rfam family "Bacterial small subunit ribosomal RNA", at positions 334 to 635 of the family's 1533-position model. The record is from RNAcentral.
AUGGCCUACGGGGGGCAGCAGUGAGGAAUAUUGGUCAAUGGGCGCGAGCCUGAACCAGCCAAGUCGCGUGAGGGAGGACGGCCCUACGGGUUGUAAACCUCUUUUGCCGGGGAGCAACGGGCGUCACGUGUGGCGUCACUGAGAGUACCCGGAGAAAAAGCAUCGGCUAACUCCGUGCCAGCAGCCGCGGUAAUACGUAGGUGGCAAGCGUUGUCCGGAUUUACUGGGUGUAAAGGGCGUGUAGCCGGGCCGGCAAGUCAGAUGUGAAAUCCCAAGGCUCAACCUUGGAACUGCAUUUGAAACUG